ACGGGUGAGUAACACGUGGGCAACCUGCCCUUGAGACUGGGAUAACUUCGGGAAACCGGAGCUAAUACCGGAUAAUAUGAGGAACCUCCUGGUUCUUUAUUGAAAGAUGGUUUCGGCUAUCACUUAAGGAUGGGCCCGCGGCGCAUUAGCUAGUUGGUGAGGUAACGGCUCACCAAGGCGACGAUGCGUAGCCGACCUGAGAGGGUGAUCGGCCACACUGGGACUGAGACACGGCCCAGACUCCUACGGGAGGCAGCAGUAGGGAAUCUUCCACAAUGGACGAAAGUCUGAUGGAGCAACGCCGCGUGAGUGAUGAAGGCCUUCGGGUCGUAAAGCUCUGUUGUUAGGGAAGAACAAGUGCGAGAGUAACUGCUCGCACCUUGACGGUACCUAACCAGAAAGCCACGGCUAACUACGUGCCAGCAGCCGCGGUAAUACGUAGGUGGCAAGCGUUAUCCGGAAUUAUUGGGCGUAAAGCGCGCGCAGGUGGUUUCUUAAGUCUGAUGUGAAAGCCCACGGCUCAACCGUGGAGGGUCAUUGGAAACUGGGGAACUUGAGUGCAGAAGAGGAAAGUGGAAUUCCAAGUG
Molecule: ribosomal RNA, 587 nt
Filed under: uncultured bacterium
Lineage: Bacteria
Description: bacterial SSU rRNA
Rfam family: Bacterial small subunit ribosomal RNA
Source: RNAcentral